UACGGAGGGAGCUAGCGUUAUUCGGAAUUACUGGGCGUAAAGCGCACGUAGGCGGCUUUGUAAGUUAGAGGUGAAAGCCUGGAGCUCAACUCCAGAACUGCCUUUAAGACUGCAUCGCUUGAAUCCAGGAGAGGUGAGUGGAAUUCCGAGUGUAGAGGUGAAAUUCGUAGAUAUUCGGAAGAACACCAGUGGCGAAGGCGGCUCACUGGACUGGUAUUGACGCUGAGGUGCGAAAGCGUGGGGAGCAAACAGGAUUAGAAACCCCUGUAGUCC
RNAcentral lists this ribosomal RNA (273 nucleotides) under uncultured bacterium. Its description in RNAcentral is "partial 16S ribosomal RNA". It matches the Rfam family "Bacterial small subunit ribosomal RNA", at positions 524 to 796 of the family's 1533-position model. The record is from RNAcentral.